Molecule: ribosomal RNA, 426 nt
Filed under: uncultured bacterium
Lineage: Bacteria
Description: bacterial SSU rRNA
Rfam family: Bacterial small subunit ribosomal RNA
Source: RNAcentral
UGGGGAAUUUUGGACAAUGGGCGCAAGCCUGAUCCAGCCAUGCCGCGUGCAGGAUGAAGGCCUUCGGGUUGUAAACUGCUUUUGUACGGAACGAAAAGGUGCCUUCUAAUAAAGGGCGCUCAUGACGGUACCGUAAGAAUAAGCACCGGCUAACUACGUGCCAGCAGCCGCGGUAAUACGUAGGGUGCGAGCGUUAAUCGGAAUUACUGGGCGUAAAGCGUACGUAGGCGGAUGCGCAAGUUGGGGGUGAAAUCCCGGGGCUUAACCUCGGAAUUGCCCUCAAAACUGCACGUCUUGAGACCGAGAGAGGUAAGGGGAAUUCCUAGUGUAGAGGUGAAAUUCGUAGAUAUUAGGAAGAACACCAGUGGCGAAGGCGCCUUACUGGCUCGGUACUGACGCUGAGGUACGAAAGCGUGGGGAGCAAAC